CCCGGCCCGCAUGUUACCAAAUCCUAACCCUGAGAACUCAGGACAAGAAACUUCCUUUUGCUACAGGAGUGGAGUGGUACACAAAUGGAUACUAUUUAAAUACCGCUUGCUUUCUCACAAAAAAAAUAAAAUAAAAUAAAAAUAUCAGACGUAAAUGCAUGAAUGUCAUCGGUGAUCUAUCCAACGGUAAAAUUAAUAGCUGAGUGCUAGAAGUAUAUGAACUCGACGCCUAGGCUCAUUUGUUUGGCAACAAAAUCCAAGCAACAAUCAGAACAAAUUCUACAUGUUUUGAUGCCUUGCCGCAUUAGUUUUUCCCAUACUAAUCUAUGUUUUGUACAAUGUUACAGGAACAUGAUCUUGCACCAUCAAACAUGAUUGGUAAUAUGCGGGCAGGGGUGGUGGGGAGUCAUUCUUUAUCUCUG
RNAcentral lists this unclassified non-coding RNA (422 nucleotides) under Hevea brasiliensis (rubber tree). The record is from RNAcentral. Lineage: Eukaryota; Viridiplantae; Streptophyta; Magnoliopsida; Malpighiales; Euphorbiaceae.